UUCGGAGCUAGAGACCGGCGCACGGGUGCGUAACGCGUAUGCAAUCUACCUUUUACAGAGGGAUAGCCCAGAGAAAUUUGGAUUAAUACCUCAUAGUAUGUGAGAAUCGCAUGGUUUUCACAUUAAAGUUCCAACGGUAAAAGAUGAGCAUGCGUCCCAUUAGCUAGAUGGUAAGGUAACGGCUUACCAUGGCUACGAUGGGUAGGGGUCCUGAGAGGGAGAUCCCCCACACUGGUACUGAGACACGGACCAGACUCCUACGGGAGGCAGCAGUGAGGAAUAUUGGACAAUGGGCGCAAGCCUGAUCCAGCCAUGCCGCGUGCAGGAUGACGGUCCUAUGGAUUGUAAACUGCUUUUGUACAGGAAGAAACACUCCCUCGUGAGGGAGCUUGACGGUACUGUAAGAAUAAGGAUCGGCUAACUCCGUGCCAGCAGCCGCGGUAAUACGGAGGAUCCAAGCGUUAUCCGGAAUCAUUGGGUUUAAAGGGUCCGUAGGCGGUUUAAUAAGUCAGUGGUGAAAGCCCAUCGCUCAACGGUGGAACGGCCAUUGAUACUGUUAAACUUGAAUUAUUAGGAAGUAACUAGAAUAUGUAGUGUAGCGGUGAAAUGCUUAGAGAUUACAUGGAAUACCAAUUGCGAAGGCAGGUUACUACUAAUGGAUUGACGCUGAUGGACGAAAGCGUGGGUAGCGAACAGGAUU
This 700-nucleotide ribosomal RNA is filed under the name uncultured Bacteroidota bacterium. RNAcentral describes it as "bacterial SSU rRNA". It matches the Rfam family "Bacterial small subunit ribosomal RNA", at positions 81 to 779 of the family's 1533-position model. The record is from RNAcentral. Lineage: Bacteria; Pseudomonadati; Bacteroidota.